UACGUAGGGGGCAAGCGUUGUCCGGAAUUAUUGGGCGUAAAGAGCGCGUAGGCGGUCCGAUAAGUCGGCUGUGAAAGUCAGGGGCUCAACCCUUGGAAGCCGGCCGAUACUGUCGGACUAGAGUCCGGAAGAGGCGAGUGGAAUUCCCGGUGUAGCGGUGAAAUGCGCAGAUAUCGGGAGGAACACCAAUGGCGAAGGCAACUCGCUGGGACGGUACUGACGCUGAGGCGCGAAAGCGUGGGGAGCAAACAGG
RNAcentral lists this ribosomal RNA (253 nucleotides) under uncultured bacterium. RNAcentral describes it as "partial 16S ribosomal RNA". It matches the Rfam family "Bacterial small subunit ribosomal RNA", at positions 524 to 776 of the family's 1533-position model. The record is from RNAcentral.